GGGCUCGUAGCUCAGCUGGUCAGAGCGCACCCCUGAUAAGGGUGAGGUCCGAGGUUCGAAUCCUCGCGGGCCCA
This 74-nucleotide transfer RNA is filed under the name Phycisphaeraceae bacterium. RNAcentral's name for it is "tRNA-Ile". It matches the Rfam family "tRNA". From Rfam's summary of the family: Transfer RNA (tRNA) molecules are approximately 80 nucleotides in length. Lineage: Bacteria; Pseudomonadati; Planctomycetota; Phycisphaerae; Phycisphaerales; Phycisphaeraceae. The record is from RNAcentral.